GAAAUGCGAUAAGUAAUGUGAAUUGCAGAAUUCAGUGAACCAUCGAAUCUUUGAACGCACAUUGCGCCCCUCGGUCCCCCGGGGGGCAUGCCUGUCCGAGCGUCAUGCUUCCUGUCGGACCCCUUCUGGGGGGUUCUGGAGCUGGGCUUCGCGAGCUUCUCGGAGACGAAGGGCGACGCGGGCCCGAAAUCCUAGUGGAGCCACCGCGGGAGGCGAAGCGACCGAGGCCUUCACGCCAUCGCUAGUCCUCCCGCCUGGUUGGCCUCUCCUUUAACCAACCCAAGGGUCAACCGGCCCGAGGGUCAACGGCGACCGACCUCGGAUCAGGUAGGGAUACCCGCUGAACUUAAGC
This 352-nucleotide unclassified non-coding RNA is filed under the name plant metagenome. RNAcentral describes it as "partial contains 5.8S ribosomal RNA, internal transcribed spacer 2, and large subunit ribosomal RNA". The stretch from base 1 to 105 matches the Rfam family "5.8S ribosomal RNA", at positions 50 to 154 of the family's 154-position model. The record is from RNAcentral.